Molecule: ribosomal RNA, 397 nt
Filed under: uncultured bacterium
Lineage: Bacteria
Description: partial 16S ribosomal RNA
Rfam family: Bacterial small subunit ribosomal RNA
Source: RNAcentral
AUACGUAGGGGGCGAGCGUUGUCCGGAAUGAUUGGGCGUAAAGGGCGCGUAGGCGGCCGCUUAAGUCUGGAGUGAAAGUCCUGUUUUCAAGAUGGGAAUUGCUUUGGAUACUGGGGGGCUUGAGUGCAGGAGAGGUUAUCGGAAUUCCCGGUGUAGCGGUGAAAUGCGUAGAGAUCGGGAGGAACACCAGUGGCGAAGGCGGGUAACUGGACUGCAACUGACGCUGAGGCGCGAAAGUGUGGGGAGCAAACAGGAUUAGAUACCCUGGUAGUCCACACUGUAAACGAUGAAUGCUAGGUGUAAGAGGUAUCGACCCCUUCUGUGCCGCAGUAAACACAGUAAGCAUUCCGCCUGGGGAGUACGGUCGCAAGAUUAAAACUCAAAUGAAUUGACGGGG